UACGAAGGGGGCUAGCGUUGCUCGGAAUCACUGGGCGUAAAGGGUGCGUAGGCGGGUCUUUAAGUCAGGGGUGAAAUCCUGGAGCUCAACUCCAGAACUGCCUUUGAUACUGAAGAUCUUGAGUUCGGGAGAGGUGAGUGGAACUGCGAGUGUAGAGGUGAAAUUCGUAGAUAUUCGCAAGGACACCAGUGGCGAAGGCGGCUCACUGGCCCGGUACUGACGCUGAGGUGCGAAAGCGUGGGGAGCAAACAGG
Molecule: ribosomal RNA, 253 nt
Filed under: uncultured bacterium
Lineage: Bacteria
Description: partial 16S ribosomal RNA
Rfam family: Bacterial small subunit ribosomal RNA
Source: RNAcentral